GAGUUUGAUCGUGGCUCAGAUUGAACGCUGGCGGCAUGCCUUACACAUGCAAGUCGAACGGCAGCACGGGAGCUUGCUCCUGGUGGCGAGUGGCGAACGGGUGAGUAAUGCAUCGGAACGUAUCCUGGAGUGGGGGAUAACGUAGCGAAAGUUACGCUAAUACCGCAUAUUCUGUGAGCAGGAAAGCGGGGGACCUUCGGGCCUCGCGCUCUUGGAGCGGCCGAUGUCGGAUUAGCUAGUUGGUGAGGUAAAGGCUCACCAAGGCGACGAUCCGUAGCAGGUCUGAGAGGAUGAUCUGCCACACUGGAACUGAGACACGGUCCAGACUCCUACGGGAGGCAGCAGUGGGAAUUUUGGACAAUGGGGGCAACCCGUGAUCCAGCCAUGCCGCGUGAGUGAAGAAGGCCU
This 408-nucleotide ribosomal RNA is filed under the name bacterium enrichment culture clone ALO1_GLFRUDD03FUEVS. Its description in RNAcentral is "bacterial SSU rRNA". It matches the Rfam family "Bacterial small subunit ribosomal RNA", at positions 9 to 417 of the family's 1533-position model. The record is from RNAcentral.